GCAUGCUUCUUUGCGGUCUGU
RNAcentral lists this non-coding RNA (21 nucleotides) under Arabidopsis thaliana (thale cress). The record is from RNAcentral. Lineage: Eukaryota; Viridiplantae; Streptophyta; Magnoliopsida; Brassicales; Brassicaceae.